RNAcentral lists this ribosomal RNA (253 nucleotides) under uncultured bacterium. RNAcentral's name for it is "partial 16S ribosomal RNA". It matches the Rfam family "Bacterial small subunit ribosomal RNA", at positions 524 to 776 of the family's 1533-position model. The record is from RNAcentral.
GACAGAGGGUGCAAACGUUGUUCGGAAUUACUGGGCGUAAAGCGCGUGUAGGCGGCCCUGCAAGUCGGAUGUGAAAUCCCACGGCUCAACCGUGGAAGUGCAUUCGAAACUGCAGAGCUAGAGUCCUGGAGAGGAAGGUGGAAUGCUUGGUGUAGAGGUGAAAUUCGUAGAUAUCAAGCGGAACACCGGUGGCGAAGGCGGCCUUCUGGACAGUGACUGACGCUGAGACGCGAAAGCGUGGGGAGCAAACAGG